RNAcentral lists this non-coding RNA (55 nucleotides) under Prorocentrum micans. The record is from RNAcentral. Lineage: Eukaryota; Dinophyceae; Prorocentrales; Prorocentraceae.
UUUUUUUUUUUUUUUUUUUUUUUUUUUUUUUUUUUUUCUCCAACUCUAUAGCACU